Molecule: transfer RNA, 73 nt
Filed under: Petromyzon marinus (sea lamprey)
Lineage: Eukaryota; Metazoa; Chordata; Hyperoartia; Petromyzontiformes; Petromyzontidae
Description: tRNA-Val (CAC) (tRNA-Val-CAC-21-1)
Rfam family: tRNA
About the family: Transfer RNA (tRNA) molecules are approximately 80 nucleotides in length.
Source: RNAcentral
GUUUCCAUAUUGUAGUGGUUAUCACGUUUGCCUCACACGCGAAAGGUUCCUGGUUUGAAACCGGGUGGAAACA